This 1346-nucleotide ribosomal RNA is filed under the name uncultured bacterium. Its description in RNAcentral is "partial 16S ribosomal RNA". It matches the Rfam family "Bacterial small subunit ribosomal RNA", at positions 28 to 1381 of the family's 1533-position model. The record is from RNAcentral.
GACGAACGCUGGCGGCGUGCUUAACACAUGCAAGUCGAACGGAAAGGCCCUGCUUUUGUGGGGUGCUCGAGUGGCGAACGGGUGAGUAACACGUGAGUAACCUGCCCUUGACUUUGGGAUAACUUCAGGAAACUGGGGCUAAUACCGGAUAGGAGCUCCUGCUGCAUGGUGGGGGUUGGAAAGUUUCGGCGGUUGGGGAUGGACUCGCGGCUUAUCAGCUUGUUGGUGGGGUAGUGGCUUACCAAGGCUUUGACGGGUAGCCGGCCUGAGAGGGUGACCGGCCACAUUGGGACUGAGAUACGGCCCAGACUCCUACGGGAGGCAGCAGCGGGGAAUAUUGCACAAUGGGCGGAAGCCUGAUGCAGCAACGCCGCGUGCGGGAUGACGGCCUUCGGGUUGUAAACCGCUUUCGCCUGUGACGAAGCGUGAGUGACGGUAAUGGGUAAAGAAGCACCGGCUAACUACGUGCCAGCAGCCGCGGUGAUACGUAGGGUGCGAGCGUUGUCCGGAUUUAUUGGGCGUAAAGGGCUCGUAGGUGGUUGAUCGCGUCGGAAGUGUAAUCUUGGGGCUUAACCCUGAGCGUGCUUUCGAUACGGGUUGACUUGAGGAAGGUAGGGGAGAAUGGAAUUCCUGGUGGAGCGGUGGAAUGCGCAGAUAUCAGGAGGAACACCAGUGGCGAAGGCGGUUCUCUGGGCCUUUCCUGACGCUGAGGAGCGAAAGCGUGGGGAGCGAACAGGCUUAGAUACCCUGGUAGUCCACGCUGUAAACGGUGGGUACUAGGUGUGGGGUCCAUUCCACGGGUUCCGUGCCGUAGCUAACGCUUUAAGUACCCCGCCUGGGGAGUACGGCCGCAAGGCUAAAACUCAAAGGAAUUGACGGGGCCCCGCACAAGCGGCGGAGCAUGCGGAUUAAUUCGAUGCAACGCGUAGAACCUUACCUGGGUUUGACAUGGAUCGGGAGUGCUCAGAGAUGGGUGUGCCUCUUUUGGGGUCGGUUCACAGGUGGUGCAUGCCUGUCGUCAGCUCGUGUCGUGAGAUGUUGGGUUAAGUCCCGCAACGAGCGCAACCCUUGUUCACUGUUGCCAGCACGUUAUGGUGGGGACUCAGUGGAGACCGCCGGGGUCAACUCGGAGGAAGGUGGGGAUGACGUCAAGUCAUCAUGCCCCUUAUGUCCAGGGCUUCACGCAUGCUACAAUGGCUGGUACAGAGAGUGGCGAGCCUGUGAGGGUGAGCGAAUCUCGGAAAGCCGGUCUCAGUUCGGAUUGGGGUCUGCAACUCGACCUCAUGAAGUCGGAGUCGCUAGUAAUCGCAGAUCAGCAACGCUGCGGUGAAUACGUUCCCGGGGCU